AACGAACGCUGGCGGCAUGCCUAACACAUGCAAGUCGAACGAGACCUUCGGGUCUGGUGGCGCACGGGUGCGUAACGCGUGGGAACCUGCCCUUAGGUUCGGAAUAACUCCCCGAAAGGGGUGCUAAUACCGGAUAAUGUCUUCGAACCAAAGAUUUAUCGCCUUUGGAUGGGCCCGCGUUGGAUUAGCUAGUUGGUAGGGUAAAAGCCUACCAAGGCGACGAUCCAUAGCUGGUCUGAGAGGAUGAUCAGCCACACUGGGACUGAGACACGGCCCAGACUCCUACGGGAGGCAGCAGUGGGGAAUAUUGGACAAUGGGCGAAAGCCUGAUCCAGCAAUGCCGCGUGAGUGAUGAAGGCCUUAGGGUUGUAAAGCUCUUUUACCCGGGAUGAUAAUGACAGUACCGGGAGAAUAAGCUCCGGCUAACUCCGUG
This 433-nucleotide ribosomal RNA is filed under the name uncultured bacterium. RNAcentral's name for it is "partial 16S ribosomal RNA". It matches the Rfam family "Bacterial small subunit ribosomal RNA", at positions 29 to 507 of the family's 1533-position model. The record is from RNAcentral.